This 370-nucleotide ribosomal RNA is filed under the name uncultured organism. Its description in RNAcentral is "bacterial SSU rRNA". It matches the Rfam family "Bacterial small subunit ribosomal RNA", at positions 526 to 896 of the family's 1533-position model. The record is from RNAcentral.
CGUAGGGUGCGAGCGUUAAUCGGAAUUACUGGGCGUAAAGCGUGCGCAGGCGGUUUUGUAAGACAGAUGUGAAAUCCCCGGGCUCAACCUGGGACCUGCAUUUGUGACUGCAAGGCUAGAGUACGGUAGAGGGGGACGGAAUUCCGCGUGUAGCAGUGAAAUGCGUAGAUAUGCGGAGGAACACCGAUGGCGAAGGCAAUCCCCUGGACCUGUACUGACGCUCAUGCACGAAAGCGUGGGGAGCAAACAGGGUUAGAUACCCUGGUAGUCCACGCCCUAAACGAUGUCAACUGGUCGUUGGGUCUUUACUGACUCAGUAACGAAGCUAACGCGUGAAGUUGACCGCCUGGGGAGUACGGCCGCAAGGUUG